This 357-nucleotide long non-coding RNA is filed under the name Homo sapiens (human). RNAcentral describes it as "HSALNT0227135". The record is from RNAcentral. Lineage: Eukaryota; Metazoa; Chordata; Mammalia; Primates; Hominidae.
CAGCCUUCUCUGAAUCUACACCAGUAAGUCUCUGGUUUUCUUUUCUUAAACCAGACCAAAUGUUUUUCUGUCACUUGCAUCCACAAAAGUCCUGACAAGGAUAGCACCUUGAAGGCCCCGCAGCAGCAGCUGCCCCUUAUGUGCGCCAACUCAGCGUGGCCAUCCACAGACGAGCCAGCACUAUGCUGCACGCGGGCCCUCCUUCAGCUUCCUCAGCAAACCCUCACCAAAGGCCCCCUGGCGGGUCCAGUGCCAAGUCCGGGACAGAGGUAGAAGCUGCAGGCCACGCAGCCAGCACACGCAACGGCCAGGACCAAAUCACCCUGAGCAAAUCCAGCCAGGCAGCCUCAACGCCAG